AAUAACACAAUCCCUUUUGUACCAAUAUUUGGCGACUUUGUGGUAUCAAUGAUCCUUAUAGGGCAUCAAUCUCCAUUGGCAUUGGUUGUUAUAUUGUAGUAUCACAUAGUAGCCUAGAAUUUUGUACUAUUGGUUGUGCUCCACAAUUUCUGAAAUCUAUUGCAUUGACCCUCUCUACAAUCCAAAUUACCUCUUCAAAUAUUUGUAGAUUCUUUAGCUUCACUUCUCACUAGACUCCAUGUUUCAAACAUUGUAAGAAUCAAUCCAUCAUCUCUACUUCCAAAACUUUGCCAAUUUGGAGAUAUAGGAACUGGAAUCAAGAAACCUAAACUUGCACCAACUAAGCUUGUAUAAGAUUUGACAACUGA
This 368-nucleotide long non-coding RNA is filed under the name Physcomitrium patens. Its description in RNAcentral is "long non-coding RNA (PPAT_LNC008939)". Lineage: Eukaryota; Viridiplantae; Streptophyta; Bryopsida; Funariales; Funariaceae. The record is from RNAcentral.